RNAcentral lists this ribosomal RNA (863 nucleotides) under uncultured soil bacterium. RNAcentral describes it as "bacterial SSU rRNA". It matches the Rfam family "Bacterial small subunit ribosomal RNA", at positions 26 to 898 of the family's 1533-position model. The record is from RNAcentral.
AGGAUAAACGCUGGCGGCGUGCCUAACACAUGCAAGUCGAACGUCCUCUUGUUUUCGGAACGGGAGGGAGUGGCGGACGGGUGAGUAACACAUGGGUGACCUGGCUGAAGUGAGGGAUACCGGCGAGAAAUCGCCGACAAGCCCGCAUAGGUUCUUUCUGGUGAAGCGGAGAGAGCAAAGGUUCCCGCAAAGGGGAUUGCUUUGGGAUGGGCCUGUGGCCGAUUAGCUAGUUGGUGGGGUAAGAGCCUACCAAGGCGACGAUCGGUAGCUGGUCUGAGAGGACGAUCAGCCACACUGGGAUUGAGAACGGCCCAGACUCCUACGGGGGGCAGCAGUGAGGAAUUUUCCGCAAUGGACGCAAGUCUGACGGAGCAACGCCGCGUGCAGGAGGACGCUUUUCGGAGUGUAAACUGCUUUUCCCAGGGAAGAGAGCGGACGGUACCUGGGGAAGAAGCCCCGGCUAACUACGUGCCAGCAGCCGCGGUAAUACGUAGGGGGCGAGCGUUGUCCGGAGUUACUGGGCGUAAAGGGCAUGCAGGCGGUCGUACGCGUUUUGUGUGACAGCGGGUGGCUUAACUACCCGAGUAUGCGAAAGACGGUAUGACUUGAGGGCUCGAGAGGGACACGGAAUUCCGGGUGGAGUGGUGAAAUGCGUAGAGAUCCGGAGGAACACCGAAGGCGAAGGCAGUGUCCUGGCGAGUGACUGACGCUGAGGUGCGAAAGCUAGGGGAGCGAACGGGAUUAGAUACCCCGGUAGUCCUAGCCGUAAACGAUGACCACCAGGUGUGGGAGGUAUCGACCCCUUCCGUGCCGGAGUAAACACACUAAGUGGCCCGCCUGGGGAGUACGGUCGCAAGAUUAAA